This 497-nucleotide ribosomal RNA is filed under the name uncultured bacterium. Its description in RNAcentral is "partial 16S ribosomal RNA". It matches the Rfam family "Bacterial small subunit ribosomal RNA", at positions 28 to 507 of the family's 1533-position model. The record is from RNAcentral.
GAUGAACGCUGGCGGCGUGCCUAAUACAUGCAAGUCGAGCGAACAGACGCGGAGCUUGCUCCUCUGACGUUAGCCGAGGACGGGUGAGUAACACGUGUAUAACCUACCUAUAAGACUGGGAUAACUUCGGGAAACCGGAGCUAAUACCGGAGAAUAUAUUGAACCGCAUGGUUCAAUGGUGAGAGACGGUUUUGCUGUCAGUUCUAGAUGGAUCCGCGCCGCAUUAGCUAGUUGGUAAGGUAACGGCUUACCAAGGCGACGAUGCGUAGCCGACCUGAGAGGGGGUUCGGCCACAUUGGAGCGUGGACACGGUCCAGACUCCUACGGUAGGCAGCAGUAGGGAAUCUUCCGCAAUGGGCGAAAGCCUGACGGAGCAACGCCGCGUGAGUGAUGAAGGUCUUCGGAUCGUAAAACUCUGUUAUGAGGGAAGAACAAAUGUGUAAGUAACUAUGCACGUCUUGACGGUACCUAAUCAGAAAGCCACGGCUAACUACGUG